Molecule: ribosomal RNA, 360 nt
Filed under: Triticum aestivum (bread wheat)
Lineage: Eukaryota; Viridiplantae; Streptophyta; Magnoliopsida; Poales; Poaceae
Description: partial small subunit ribosomal RNA
Source: RNAcentral
AUGGAAAACUGGACUACCAAAAGAAGGUGGAUUUGGCAGUUGCUGCUCCGUGAGAUGAGUUUAUUUGCCUGCUCAAAAUUCGGACCUGGCAAGGAUGAAUCCAGAUGGAACGAAAAAGCUCUAAUGGCGCCUUUCCUCUCUGAUGGACUAGAAGUGACUAAUUUUCUAGAAAUUAUUGUUAACAUAAAUCAGCUGAAGAUUCUUUGUGUUCGGUGCCGACAGCUGAUUAACCUUGGCCGAAAUCUCUGUUUUUCUUUGUCCCUCCUAUGCGCACUGAGUUUUGCAGUGGGCAUAUUGGCUGUACUUGUAGUGUACAAAAAUAAUGUAUUUUUUCCAAUAACAUUUCUGUAUUUGGAAUAA